UAGAUGCGAGAGUAGAGCAUAUCAAUAAGCGGAGGAAAAGAAACUAACAAGGAUUCCCUUAGUAACGGCGAGUGAAGCGGGAAGAGCUCAAAUUUGAAAUCUUCAAGGUUCUACCUUGACGAAUUGUAGUUUAGAGAAGUGUUUUCUGUUAGUAGGAGUGGCAAAAGUUCUUUGGAAUAGGACAUCAUAGAGGGUGAGAAUCCCGUAUUUGGUCAUUCCUUCCUAGCGUUGUGAUACACUUUCAACGAGUCGGAUUGUUUGGGAAUGCAGUCCAAAAUGGGUGGUAAAUUUCAUCUAAAGCUAAAUAUUGGCGAAGAGACCGAUAGCGAACAAGUACCGUGAGGGAAAGAUGAAAAGAACUUUGAAAAGAGGAGUUAAACAGUACGUGAAAUUGUCAAAAGGGAAGCGUUUGACACCAGUGUUGUUUUUCCGAAAAUCAAUUACGAGUGUUUUAUUUUUGAGAAGUUAUGACUUCAUCGGCUUGCUUCUCUCUUUAUGAAACUUUCUUAAUGCACUUUUCGGUUAACAAGUCAACAUCAAUUUCUUUUGUUGUAAAAGGGUAUGAGGAAGGUGGCUUUCUUUUCGGAGAAAGUGUUUAUAGCCUUGUACCUCUGCAAUCGGAGAGAUUGAGGUCUGCAGCGUAGAUCCUUCGGGGUUAGAUACAUUUGUGCUAAGUUAUAGCUUUUCAUAGACAACUUGUUGACUAUGUUUAGUCUUGUAGCUUACUCGCUUAUGCUAUUUUACCUACGCUUAGGAUGUUGACACACGCGCGUGCUCG
Molecule: ribosomal RNA, 778 nt
Filed under: uncultured Neocallimastigales
Lineage: Eukaryota; Fungi; Neocallimastigomycota; Neocallimastigomycetes; Neocallimastigales
Description: partial large subunit ribosomal RNA
Rfam family: Eukaryotic large subunit ribosomal RNA
Source: RNAcentral